Molecule: ribosomal RNA, 319 nt
Filed under: uncultured Methanomassiliicoccales archaeon
Lineage: Archaea; Methanobacteriati; Thermoplasmatota; Thermoplasmata; Methanomassiliicoccales
Description: bacterial SSU rRNA
Rfam family: Archaeal small subunit ribosomal RNA
Source: RNAcentral
GCAAACGGGAUUAGAUACCCCGGUAGUCCAGGGUGUAAACGCUGCAGACUUGGUGUUGGGGACCCUUCGGGGGUGUUCAGUGCCGGAGAGAAGUUGUUAAGUCUGCUACUUGGGGAGUACGUCCGCAAGGAUGAAACUUAAAGGAAUUGGCGGGGGAGCACCGCAACGGGAGGAACGUGCGGUUUAAUUGGAUUCAACACCGGAAAACUCACCAGCAGCGACUAUUACAUGAAAGUCAGGCCGAUGACCUUACUAGAUUUUUAGAGAGGUGGUGCAUGGCCGUCGUCAGUUCGUACCGUAAGGCGUUCUCUUAAGUGAG